RNAcentral lists this ribosomal RNA (497 nucleotides) under uncultured bacterium. Its description in RNAcentral is "partial 16S ribosomal RNA". It matches the Rfam family "Bacterial small subunit ribosomal RNA", at positions 28 to 507 of the family's 1533-position model. The record is from RNAcentral.
GAUGAACGCUGGCGGCGUGCCUAAUACAUGCAAGUCGAGCGAACAGACGAGGAGCUUGCUCCUCUGACGUUAGCGGCGGACGGGUGAGUAACACGUGGAUAACCUACCUAUAAGACUGGGAUAACUUCGUGAAACCGGAGCUAAUACCGGAUAAUAUAUUGAACCGCAUGGUUCAAUAGUGAAAGACGGUUUUGCUGUCACUUAUAGAUGGAUCCGCGCCGCAUUAGCUAGUUGGUAAGGUAACGGCUUACCAAGGCGACGAUGCGUAGCCGACCUGAGAGGGUGAUCGGCCACACUGGAACUGAGACACGGUCCAGCCUCCUACGGGAGGCAGCAGUAGGGAAUCUUCCGCAAUGGGCGAAAGCCUGACGGAGCAACGCCGCGUGAGUGAUGAAGGUCUUCGGAUCGUAAAACUCUGUUAUUAGGGAAGAACAAAUGUGUAAGUAACUAUGCACGUCUUGACGGUACCUAAUCAGAAAGCCACGGCUAACUACGUG